GACGAAUGCUGGCGGCGUGCUUAACACAUGCAAGUCGAACGGAAAGGCCCUGCUUUUGUGGGGUUCUCGCGUGGCGAACGGGUGAGUAACCCGUGAGUAACCUGCCCUUGACUUUGUGAUAACUUCAGGAGACUGGGGCUAAUACCGGCUAGGAGCUCCUGCUGCAUGGGGGUGGUUGGAAAGUUUCGGCGGUUGGGGAUGGACUCGCGGCUUAUCAGCUGGUUGGUGGGGUAGUGGCUUACCAAGGCUUUGACGGGUAGCCGGCCUGAGAGGUUGACCGGCCACCUUGGGACUGAGAUACGGACCAGACUGCUACGGGAGACAGCAGGGGGGAAUCUGGCACAACGGGCGGAAGUCUGUGGAAGAAAUGCCGCGUGCGGGAUGACGGCCUUCGGGGUGUAAACCGCUUUAGCCUGUGACGAAGCGGGAGUGACGGUAAUGGGUAAAUAAGCACCGGCUAACUACGUG
This 468-nucleotide ribosomal RNA is filed under the name uncultured bacterium. RNAcentral's name for it is "partial 16S ribosomal RNA". It matches the Rfam family "Bacterial small subunit ribosomal RNA", at positions 28 to 507 of the family's 1533-position model. The record is from RNAcentral.